Molecule: non-coding RNA, 168 nt
Filed under: human gut metagenome
Source: RNAcentral
GUGGAUGGUGUCAUUUCGGCAUAAUCCAGUAAUAGGGAAUCAGGUGUGAAUCCUGAACUAUACCCGUAGCUGUAAGUUCUGUUAUACCCUUGGCUAUCUUGGCCACUGUCUGAAACGGAUGGGAAGGCGCCAAAGGGAGAACAAGUCAGAAGACCUGCCGGAUUCAUA